This 497-nucleotide ribosomal RNA is filed under the name Bacillus sp. M3-C11. RNAcentral's name for it is "bacterial SSU rRNA". It matches the Rfam family "Bacterial small subunit ribosomal RNA", at positions 1 to 488 of the family's 1533-position model. Lineage: Bacteria; Bacillati; Bacillota; Bacilli; Caryophanales; Bacillaceae. The record is from RNAcentral.
UGAGCUUGAUCCUGGCUCAGGACGAACGCGGCGGCGUGCCUAAUACAUGCAAGUCGAGCGAACUUCUUUAGAGCUUGCUUUAAAGAAGUUAGCGGCGGACGGGUGAGUAACACGUGGGCAACCUGCCUGUAAGACUGGGAUAACUUCGGGAAACCGGAGCUAAUACCGGAUAAUAUAUAGUACCUCCUGGUACUAUAUUGAAAGAUGGUUUCGGCUAUCACUUACAGAUGGGCCCGCGGCGCAUUAGCUAGUUGGUGAGGUAACGGCUCACCAAGGCAACGAUGCGUAGCCGACCUGAGAGGGUGAUCGGCCACACUGGGACUGAGACACGGCCCAGACUCCUACGGGAGGCAGCAGUAGGGAAUCUUCCACAAUGGACGAAAGUCUGAUGGAGCAACGCCGCGUGAGCGAUGAAGGCCUUCGGGUCGUAAAGCUCUGUUGUUAGGGAAGAACAAGUGCGAGAGUAACUGCUCGCACCUGACGGUACCUACCCGAAG